AGAGUUUGAUCAUGGCUCAGGAUUAACGCUGGCGGUAUGCCUAAUACAUGCAAGUCGAACGAAAAUCUUCGGAUUUUAGUGGCGAACGGGUGAGUAACGUAUGUUUAAUCUACCUUGUAGUUUGGAAUAACCAUUGGAAACGAUGGCUAAUACUGAAUACUAUUUAUAAUGGAAUCUUUAUAAAUUAAAAGGGGCGUUUGCCCCGCUAUAAGAUGAGAACAUAUUACAUUAGCUAGUUGGUAGGGUAAAGGCCUACCAAGGCAAUGAUGUAUAGCCGAGCCGAGAGGUUGAUCGGCCACAAUGGGACUGAGACACGGCCCAUACUCCUACGGGAGGCAGCAGUAGGGAAUUUUUCACAAUGGACGAAAGUCUGAUGAAGCAACACCGCGUGAGGGAAGACGGUUUUAGGACUGUAAACCUCUGUUAUAAGGGAAGAAUAUGUCGGAGAGGAAAUGCUCCGUGCAGUGACGGUACUUUAUUAGAAAGUCACGGCUAACUAUGUGCCAGCAGCCGCGGUAAUACAUAGGUGGCAAGCGUUAUCCGGAUUUAUUGGGCGUAAAGAGUGCACAGGUGGUUAUAUAAGUUUGAUGUUAAAGACCGAAGCUCAACUUCGGUUCGCACUGAAAACUGUAUAACUAGAAUGCAGGUGGGAAUAGUGGAAUUCGAUGUGUAGCGGUGGAAUGCAUAAAUAUAUCGAGGAACACCAGUGGCGAAGGCGGCUAUUUGAACUGUAAUUGACACUUAAGCACGAAAGCGUGGGGAGCAAAUAGGAUUAGAUACCCUAGUAGUCCACGCCGUAAACGAUCUAGAUUAGAUGUCGGAAUUAUUCGGUAUCGCAGCUAACGCAUUAAAUCUAGCGCCUGGGUAGUACGCACGCAAGUGUAAAA
RNAcentral lists this ribosomal RNA (887 nucleotides) under uncultured Mollicutes bacterium. Its description in RNAcentral is "bacterial SSU rRNA". It matches the Rfam family "Bacterial small subunit ribosomal RNA", at positions 8 to 899 of the family's 1533-position model. Lineage: Bacteria; Bacillati; Mycoplasmatota; Mollicutes. The record is from RNAcentral.